UGGAAGAUGAGAGAGUUCCAUUGCUGUGGGUCUGGCAGUCACGCAGGCUGCCCAGACCUUGUGGACUGCCUAUGCUGGGGCACUGGAAGGUUUUACUCUGUCUGGAUGCUGCUGUGGGAGUGCUAUUGAGGUGGGCAAACUCUGCUUGGUCCCAGUGAGCUUCCAGAGUAAGAUUUCAGCUGAAAGUCAAAGAAACCCAAAGAUAGAAGCAGAAAUACCGUGAGAAAAAAUGAACCCGUAGUUUUCAAGCCGAGUGUGAUACAAGAGAACAAUGUAAUCUCCAAACAGAAAAACUCCAUGGCAAGAUAAGAUGCUCAUCAACAGGACCACCUACUCCUGUCCCAGGCCACAGAGCCAUGCCCUCCUGGUGUACCAGCAUAAAGCUUACCAACCCCAGAGACAACCACCUCCUCAGCCAAUAUUACUACUUCCUCUGCUACGUCAGGAGGAGUCCGUCUUGUUCAAUGAACUUCUCAUGUUGGAGUGGACUGAAGCAGAGCAGAGCCAAUCUGGCGACGUCACCGCAGUUGUAAGCAGAGCUCCCUCUCACCCCUCCCUGACUGCCUCAGUCGUGCACAGGGACGCCCGUGGCAGUGGCUGUGAGCUGCGCUGCCCCCUGUCAUCAGCUCCCCCAGGGCACACACGUGCUUCCAACUGCACAGCCUCCUUUCAUUUGCUUCUCAUUCCUGAAAAAGGGGUUCCCCUGACAUCCUUGCUCCAAGUACAGUGUCUACAUUUUUCUUAUUACAAGAACUUUCCUAUUCAUUCUCCUGGGAAUGUUUUUAUUAUCCGCUGUCAUGUCUCUGUAUCACUUGCUAGUAAAAUAAUUGGGAAGUGCUCAGAGCAGCUGAACCAUGCAGCAUUCUUCCCUCGUGUUCUUGCCUUUUUCUCUCCCCUACUGCAAAAGCGCUAUCUGAUUCCCACUAAAACAAGAUUUAAAGAUGACAGCUGCCUUCCAUGUGGUGGCAUUCGCUAUAAAGAAGAGAAAUGUGGACUGAUUUCUUUAACUUGAUCCUCUACAUGCUCAUUACUGCAGUAAUCCAAACACUCUCUGUUUGCUGAAUAAGGAAAUAUCUAGUUUGAAAAGAGCUUUUUGGCUUACUACAGGUUUGCUGGAUCAAGCUCUUAUAGGGUCUGCACAAAACCUUUGUUUAUUUUUCUCUGCUGAAAUUGUUCAAAUGGCUUCUCAUUAUCAUUGGGUGGGACUGAAAAGAAGCACUGAUGUCAGUUUUGUGACAUGUCCUGUUAUUUAAGUAAUUCACAGUCUAGUCUGGGACAUGUUUGAACUUCCUAAAUAAUUGGCUAUGUACUUGGUUUUUUUUUGUUGUUGAUAGGUUUUCUUUUCUUUUCUCUUUUAGCAUGAAUAAAUGAAGAAUGAACAAACUAACUACUAUUGGC
Molecule: long non-coding RNA, 1398 nt
Organism: Numida meleagris (helmeted guineafowl)
Lineage: Eukaryota; Metazoa; Chordata; Aves; Galliformes; Numididae
Source: Ensembl